This 735-nucleotide ribosomal RNA is filed under the name uncultured bacterium. RNAcentral's name for it is "bacterial SSU rRNA". It matches the Rfam family "Bacterial small subunit ribosomal RNA", at positions 57 to 793 of the family's 1533-position model. The record is from RNAcentral.
GCAGUCGAGGGGUAUAGGUUUUCGGACCUAGAGACCGGCGCGCGGGUGCGUAACGCGUAUGCAAUCUACCUUUUACAGAGGGAUAGCCCAGAGAAAUUUGGAUUAAUACCUCAUAGUAUUAUUGAAUGGCAUCAUUUAAUAAUUAAAGUCACAACGGUAAAAGAUGAGCAUGCGUCCCAUUAGCUAGUUGGUAAGGUAACGGCUUACCAAGGCAACGAUGGGUAGGGGUCCUGAGAGGGAGAUCCCCCACACUGGUACUGAGACACGGACCAGACUCCUACGGGAGGCAGCAGUGAGGAAUAUUGGUCAAUGGGCGCAAGCCUGAACCAGCCAUGCCGCGUGCAGGAUGACGGUCCUAUGGAUUGUAAACUGCUUUUGUACAGGAAGAAACAGUUCUACGUGUAGAACCUUGACGGUACUGUAAGAAUAAGGAUCGGCUAACUCCGUGCCAGCAGCCGCGGUAAUACGGAGGAUCCAAGCGUUAUCCGGAAUCAUUGGGUUUAAAGGGUCCGUAGGCGGUUUUGUAAGUCAGUGGUGAAAGCCCAUCGCUCAACGGUGGAACGGCCAUUGAUACUGCAAGACUUGAAUUAUUGGGAAGCAACUAGAAUAUGUAGUGUAGCGGUGAAAUGCUUAGAGAUUACAUGGAAUACCAAUUGCGAAGGCAGGUUGCUACCAAUAUAUUUGACCCUGAUGGACGAAAGCGUGGGGAGCCAACAGGAUUAGAUACCCUGGUAG